AGUGAACGCUGGCGGUAGGCCUAACACAUGCAAGUCGAACGGCAGCACAGUAAGAGCUUGCUCUUACGGGUGGCGAGUCGCGGACGGGUGCGGAAUACAUCGGAAUCUACUUUUUCGUGGGGGAUAACGUAGGGAAACUUACGCUAAUACCGCAUACGACCUACGGGUGAAAGCAGGGGAUCUUCGGACCUUGCGCGAUUGAAUGAGCCGAUGUCGGAUUAGAUAGUUGGCGGGGUAACGGCCCACCAAGGCGACGAUCCGUAGCUGGUCUGAGAGGAUGAUCGGCGACACUGGAACUGAGACACGGUCCAGACUCCGACGGGAGGCAGCAGUGGGGAAUAUUGGACAAUGGGCGCAAGCCUGAUCCAGCCAUACCGCGUGGGUGAAGAAGGCCUUCGGGUUGUAAAGCCCUUUUGUUGGGAAAGAAAAACAGCAGGUUAAUACCCCGCUGUUCUGACGGUACCCAAAGAAUAAGCACCGGCUAACUUCGUG
This 492-nucleotide ribosomal RNA is filed under the name uncultured bacterium. RNAcentral describes it as "partial 16S ribosomal RNA". It matches the Rfam family "Bacterial small subunit ribosomal RNA", at positions 29 to 507 of the family's 1533-position model. The record is from RNAcentral.